This 497-nucleotide ribosomal RNA is filed under the name uncultured bacterium. Its description in RNAcentral is "partial 16S ribosomal RNA". It matches the Rfam family "Bacterial small subunit ribosomal RNA", at positions 28 to 507 of the family's 1533-position model. The record is from RNAcentral.
GAUGAACGCUGGCGGCGUGCCUAAUACAUGCAAGUCGAGCGAACAGACGAGGAGCUUGCUCCUCUGAUGUUAGCGGCGGACGGGUGAGUAACACGUGGAUAACCUACCUAUAAGACUGGGAUAACUUCGGGAAACCGGAGCUAAUACCGGAUAACAUGUUGAACCGCAUGGUUCAACAGUGAAAGACGGUCUUGCUGUCACUUAUAGAUGGAUCCGCGCCGCAUUAGCUAGUUGGUAAGGUAACGGCUUACCAAGGCAACGAUGCGUAGCCGACCUGAGAGGGUGAUCGGCCACACUGGAACUGAGACACGGUCCAGACGCCUACGGGAGGCAGCAGUAGGGAAUCUUCCGCAAUGGGCGAAAGCCUGACGGAGCAACGCCGCGUGAGUGAAGAAGGUCUUCGGAUCGUAAAACUCUGUUAUUAGGGAAGAACAAAUGUGUAAGUAACUAUGCGCGUCUUGACGGUACCUAAUCAGAAAGCCACGGCUAACUACGUG